AACCUAGUUUGACUCGGAAGCCCAGACUUCUCCCCUGUCAUGCUACAUUUUGCUGUGUUGGCGUCAGUCAACAGAUUUCUCCUGUGUGGAGGAGACUGAGGUGUUUGGGGUGGUGAUUUGGAAACCCAGGCGCUUCUACUUUGAGCGGAAGUUCCCAGUCUUCAUACUUGAGAUCCUGAAACCCAGCCUAGUGUCCCCAUCUUAUAUUGAUGAAAAAGUUUAGGGCUAAAAUAUCUAUGGAGCUCUCCGGUUCCAAAGUGAUAAACAUAGGCCCCAAGGUAAAAAUAGAAAACAUGAUGUUGGCGGAGCAAAAUCGUCUCUCAACCUCUUCCCAAUAACUAAAUCAAGACUAAUCAAGGGGAGCACACGGAAGGGGUCAAUAUUUGUGCUCAAGAGUCCAUAAUUCAGUAGGGAGGUUUUAUGUAAUAAUCGCUAGGAAAAUGCCCUAGCGGAGGGGGAGGGCUGGGGCUUGGAGAGGAGCUCUGCCUGCUGGUUGGGCCAUAGCGAUAAAUGUUUGAGGAGAUAAGGCAAAGAGCACAGGGAGAUAAGGAAGCCGACACUGGAAGACAAGAUGAGGCCCAGCUGACUAUACAAUAUCAGGGUGACUAAGUUUCCAAAGAGCCACCUUAGAUAAGAAGCAGAAUUUGGUGCCUUUGGUGACUAAUAGGAGAGGAAGCCAAGACAAGCUUGAGAUGACUCCAGAGUCUGAAGUCUGUGAGGUGAGCUUUCUCUUCAAAAGAACUGUCCAAGUUGGAAGGUAACUUAGGGGAGAAAUAACUCUUUGGGUUCGCGUGGGCUGAGUGUGGAAGGUCUGGGCAGCACGUCUGCGUGGAGAAGUACAGCAGGAAGGUGGAGCGAGAUCUGGCAGACAUGCGAGUGGUGAAGGAGAGGAGAGAGGGCACAGAAACACAAAUACCAAGGGGGAGCCCUGGGGAAUCCCACCUCUGAGGGUAUGAAGGGUCAAGGAGAAGAAGGCAGUAAAAGGAGAGAGGUUAAUGCAACUUCCUGGGAGCUAAGAAUGCGAAGCUCUGAGCCAAAUACCUUUCCUUCUCAUUGUUGGUGAGGCUGCUGGUACUGAGGGCAGUUACCCAGCCCCAAGCCACACGAUCUGGGCGGGCCUGAGCUGGGGCCCCCAGGUGUCCCUCUCUUCUGGGAAAUCUCUCUGCUCUGCUGUCACACCCACACCUCCCUCCCUGUGACCAACCCGCGGUGUCUGCCAGCUCCUCAGCUCUAAGCAACCUUCUGUUUCAUAUUUGCAUUCAUAACUCAGCCUGGCAUUAUUCUUCCUUGUCUUAAAGUGGACAAGGAACACAGAACUUUAUAUUGAGGUGUUUGUGUCAUGUAGCUGCAAAUACAAGCAGUUCCGUGCAGAAUAAGUGCACUUUCAAAAAAAAAAAUGAAAACACACACACAGACCCCUAUUUCUUGUUAAAGGAAUGUUAUUUACCAAGAACUCUGUAAUCAAGAUAUCACUGUACUACAGCAGAGAUUGCUUAUUAACCACAGGUUUAACGCUAUUUAGAAAAAGUGGCCUAAUACCGUGUCACACCUGUCAGGAUAGCGUCUCACCUUGGCCGGCUUCCCCUGAGCUCCCCAGCCUUGUGGAAGUAUAAUGUUGGGCCCCUGUAAGCAGGCAUUUCUUUGCCAAGCUCUGAUUUUCUGAGACUGCACUGAAUUCUUGUUGCCAAACUAGAGCAAGAGUAAAGAGUAAGAAAGUGUGUGUGUGCAUAUGUGUGUGUUAGGAGACAAAGCAGCCCAGGGACUGAGUGGGCAGGUUUGGGAUUCAGAUAGACCUUGGCUCUGUACUGAUACCAUUGCUUCCUUGCCUUCAGAUGGCAUAGGACUGCUCUGUGAUACAGAGCCACCAUUUAUAAAAUAGAUGUGAUCAUAUUACCUUCCGUGUAGGGUUUUUGUAAAG
This is a long non-coding RNA of Heterocephalus glaber (naked mole-rat), 1918 nucleotides long. The record is from Ensembl. Lineage: Eukaryota; Metazoa; Chordata; Mammalia; Rodentia; Bathyergidae.